Molecule: ribosomal RNA, 591 nt
Filed under: uncultured bacterium
Lineage: Bacteria
Description: partial 16S ribosomal RNA
Rfam family: Bacterial small subunit ribosomal RNA
Source: RNAcentral
UGGGGAAUUUUGGACAAUGGGCGAAAGCCUGAUCCAGCAAUGCCGCGUGUGUGAAGAAGGCCUUCGGGUUGUAAAGCACUUUUGUCCGGAAAGAAAUCCUCUGGGUUAAUACCUCGGGGGGAUGACGGUACCGGAAGAAUAAGCACCGGCUAACUACGUGCCAGCAGCCGCGGUAAUACGUAGGGUGCAAGCGUUAAUCGGAAUUACUGGGCGUAAAGCGUGCGCAGGCGGUUUUGUAAGACGGAUGUGAAAUCCCCGGGCUUAACCUGGGAACUGCAUUCGUGACUGCAAGGCUAGAGUAUGGCAAGAGGGGGGUAGAAUUCCACGUGUAGCAGUGAAAUGCGUAGAGAUGGUGGAGGAAUACCGAUGGCGAAGGCAGCCCCCUGGGCCAAAUACUGACGCUCAUGCACGAAAGCGUGGGGGAGCAAAACAGGAUUCAGAUACCCUGGUAGUCCACGCCCUAAACGAUGUCAACUAGUUGUUGGGGACUUCAUUUCCUUAGUAACGUAGCUAACGCGUGAAGUUGACCGCCUGGGGAGUACGGUCGCAAGAUUAAAACUUAAAUGAAUUGACGGGGUCAUAGCUGUUUCC